RNAcentral lists this transfer RNA (76 nucleotides) under Frankiales bacterium. RNAcentral describes it as "tRNA-Arg". It matches the Rfam family "tRNA". From Rfam's summary of the family: Transfer RNA (tRNA) molecules are approximately 80 nucleotides in length. The record is from RNAcentral. Lineage: Bacteria; Bacillati; Actinomycetota; Actinomycetes; Frankiales.
GCCCCCGUAGCUCAGCGGAUAGAGCGACCGGUUUCUACCCGGUUGGUCGGGAGUUCGAGUCUCUCCGGGGGCACCA